Non-coding RNA from Capsicum annuum, 79 nucleotides. The record is from Rfam. NCBI's taxonomy places the organism in Eukaryota, Viridiplantae, Streptophyta, Magnoliopsida, Solanales, Solanaceae.
AGGAGCCGUGUGAGAUGAAAGUCUCAUGCACAGUUUUGAAUGAGAGAAAGAAGUGAGGAAUCCUCUUUUCAAAUCUGAC